Astyanax mexicanus (Mexican tetra) is the source of this 117-nucleotide small nuclear RNA. Its record names the gene U5. It matches the Rfam family "U5 spliceosomal RNA". Rfam says of the family: U5 RNA is a component of both types of known spliceosome. The precise function of this molecule is unknown, though it is known that the 5' loop is required for splice site selection and p220 binding, and that both the 3' stem-loop and the Sm site are important for Sm protein binding and cap methylation. Lineage: Eukaryota; Metazoa; Chordata; Actinopteri; Characiformes; Acestrorhamphidae. The record is from Ensembl.
AGCUCAAGUUUCUAUUCAUUCAUGUAUAAAUCUUUCGCCUUUUACUAAAGAUUUCCGUAGAGGGGAAUGUUGAUGAAUGUUGCUGAUUUUUUUGACGGCUUUGUUUUUAGCGAAGCU